GCAUCCAUGGUUCAGUCGGGAAAACAACCGACUAUGGUGCGGUAAGAUUUGGGUUUGAGCCUCGAUGAAGGCA
This is a non-coding RNA of Henosepilachna vigintioctopunctata, 73 nucleotides long. Lineage: Eukaryota; Metazoa; Arthropoda; Insecta; Coleoptera; Coccinellidae. The record is from the annotation of a GenBank genome assembly.